Molecule: long non-coding RNA, 628 nt
Organism: Puntigrus tetrazona (Sumatra barb)
Lineage: Eukaryota; Metazoa; Chordata; Actinopteri; Cypriniformes; Cyprinidae
Exons: 3
Source: RefSeq, a predicted model, not a curated record
CGCAUGCACACGAGAUGUUCACUCACAGAUGCAAUCAUCUAGAGAUGUACUUAAGAGCUACUGUGAGUGUUCAGUAAAUAACUUCCUGUGAGAAAAUGUAAGCAUUUAAUGUACGACAUCUGAAUACAAAAAAAGCUGUUUUUUUUUGUUGUUACUUUGGAGCUCAGCAUCAUUUUCAAUUUAUUACGAAGGUAAGCAAAUGGCACAUUUUUACUUUUGAAUGAAUCAUUGGGUCUAAAGGGACCAUAUAUUUGAUUUGAGAGCUAUAUUGAAUUUUCAGUGAAUGAAUGCUUAUGUUUUGCUUGUUUCUCACAGAAUGAACAACAUCAGAAGAAUUCUUUUUUUCCCAUUUCAGUCUGAAAUUGGAUUUUAAACAACAUGAGGGAGUUACUGACAAAAUUUUCAGUUUUCCUAAAUUGCUUCCAAGCCUUGGGAGUUUCCAUUUACUUCAUUACCUUAUAUUAGUGAUGAAAGAAAGCUGAGAACAGAUGGAAAGUUUAUAUACUACAUCUGAAUACACAAUUGUUCUUGUGAUUUUGGAGCUUAACCAGUUACUUUCUGAUUCAUGGACAAAAAAAGAAUCAGUGAGAGCCACAAGUAAAAGUUAGGCUGACCCCCUAAUUUCCUC